UAAAAUUCAUGCAAAGGAACAACUUCUGUUUGACGGCGAAUUCUAAGUGAGAAGACUCGGGUAUGGAGAGACGCUGUUACUGCCACCUAGCUGCAUUUGUCCUAGUUUUCCUCGGAGUGAUCCUGUCUUGGCACGUGGGGCCCGUGGAGACCCAGGGGCUGCACCCGUACUGGUAUGAUCAGCGCUACUGGAUGAGAUGUCACUGUCCGCGCCAUGUGUACAGAUGUAACGAACUCUACGAUUGUUUUGGAUUACGCUGUGACUGUGACAGGUGUGGUUGCCUUCAGAACGCUUUCCCAGGUCCUCUUCACAACCUACCGUGGUGGAAUUCUUACUUCUAUAACUACCACAAUAC
This is a long non-coding RNA of Lingula anatina, 355 nucleotides long. NCBI's taxonomy places the organism in Eukaryota, Metazoa, Brachiopoda, Lingulata, Lingulida, Lingulidae. The record is from RefSeq and is a predicted model, not a curated record.